AGAGUUUGAUCCUGGCUCAGGAUGAACGCUAGCUACAGGCUUAACACAUGCAAGUCGAGGGGAAACGACAUCGAAAGCUUGCUUUUGAUGGGCGUCGACCGGCGCACGGGUGAGUAACGCGUAUCCAACCUGCCCAUCACUUGGGGAUAACCUUGCGAAAGUAAGACUAAUACCCAAUGAUAUCUCUAGAAGGCAUCUGAAAGAGAUUAAAGAUUUAUCGGUGAUGGAUGGGGAUGCGUCUGAUUAGCUUGUUGGCGGGGUAACGGCCCACAAAGCAACGAUCAGUAGGGGUUCUGAGAGGAAGGUCCCCCCACAUUGGGAACUGAGACACGGUCCAAACUCCUACGGGAGGCA
RNAcentral lists this ribosomal RNA (354 nucleotides) under uncultured bacterium. RNAcentral describes it as "bacterial SSU rRNA". It matches the Rfam family "Bacterial small subunit ribosomal RNA", at positions 8 to 350 of the family's 1533-position model. The record is from RNAcentral.